UUCACUCUGUAUUCAUUACGUGUGUCUUCUCAAUAAAUCUUGUUACUCAUUCUGAUCAAGACUCAGAGACUCUGAAUAUUUCUUUCUUCCUGUCAUUAUUUUUCCACCACAAUUUGGCGUCACGGAACAGGAUGAGCAUGGUCUUGCGAUGGAGGGGGAGAGACUAGCACCUGCCGAGGACGCUCUCCAGCAAAACAGCUGGGCCCAAGAAGCAAGGGAAAAAUUCCACAGAAAAAAGGACAAGUACCGCGGGGGUAAGUGCAGCCUCUCACCCCCCAUUCGCAAAAUCCAGGCCUCAUCGACAAACAUUGGUGGUGAGUGACAGGUUAACUAAUUUACUCAUUAAGGAAAUUGAAAUGUAAACAAUUGUUCUUAAAUUAAUUUACUCCCCUCCAUCCUUCCUUCAGCACUCCGCCCUGGACAGUGAAUAGUUACAUGACGGUGUACAAGACUAGCCUGGUCAUAGCGAGGCCUUUAUUGAUGUAUGUAAAUAUAUCUUUGAAGUUAAAGAGAAGACUAGCCUGGUCAUAGCGAGGCCUCUAUUGAUAGACGUGUCAUUAGAGUAAUAGGUCCCGGGACCGUGGGGAGGAGUGCAUAAAAUAAUACUAAUAGUACAGGGUACUGAUUGUGUAUUAAGCAGGGAUAGAAGAAGGAAGGUGAGACGUGAUUAUUGGGGCUAAAUUACUCUGAGUCAUUAAAAUCGAAUGAGAGAACAAAAAUGGGAUCCCAAGUAACUAAAGAAUUGAAAUUUAAUCCAAAAAUUCAUGACGCAGCUCUUUUCAAUCAAAUGAGCCAAGACUAUAUGUGUAUGUCUGUGUGUGUGUGUGUUUAUGUAGUGUUGUUCAAAGGUUUGGAAUCAUUAGCAUAUUAACCCAAUAUACAUAUAUUAAAGUAGGGCAGAAUAUUGAGCCAUGCUGGAACUGUUCAAUGUAACAUGUUUCAUUAUCUUUAUGGAAAAUGCUGUAGAAUUCUGAGGAUGGCAGUUUAGUGAAUAUGUGAGACAGCUUCAUGUUUGAGUAGUAGUGAUGAGUUAUGUACAAAUGUCCACAUUGUGAAAGUCAUCCCUGAUUGAAACAGAAAAGAGAUGAGGAUUCCAGGCUUUUGAUACAAUGUGUGUGUGUGUGUUUCUGCGUGUGUUGAAUAAAGCAGUGAGAGAGAUAGACAAAACAUCUCUUCUCUGCUAUCUUCUAUCACAUUUGGUGUGUGUGUGUGUGUGUGUGUCUGUGCGUGUGUGUAAGUGUGUAUGUUUCUAACAUUUGUCUAACUCUGAUAUUCUGUAAGCGAAUCUAAUGAUGAAUAUAAUGUGUGUGUGGCUGUGUCAGAAUCGCUCCCUAUUCCAGAAAUAGUGCACUAUAUAGUGUAAAACCAUUUUUGCAGUACUGUUUAAAACCGCAGCAGUACAUUCUGUUCCCUAUAUAGUUCACUAUGAAAAACCUAAUGCAUCACAAAAUUUAGAAAUUCCAAAAUAUACUAUAAUGCAAUGCAGUGCUGUUGUAUUAGACGUCCUCAGAGCAGGACAAACAUGGUUUAUUGUUUGGUUGUUCCAUAAUUCGUUUAGUAAAUAGAAAAUGCUACAUAGUGAAAGAGUUAAUGAGUGAGCCAUUCUGAACACAGCUUCUGUCUUCAUGUGGUUUAGGCCUUUUCUAUUAUUAUUCUUUUUUAUUGAGACUGAUUUCAGCUCAGUCUCAGCUGAAUGAGAUUUAAAGAAUACACAUAUCUAAUUUCUCUAGUGGUUCUCAUGUAUCUCAGUCUAUGCUGAUCUUUUGAUUCUCUUAAUGAGGAUGGUAGAUUUUAGAAACCAGUAAGGAAAGAUCUUACUUUCUUUGGAAAGCUUUAAUUUGACAAACUUAAUAUUGUAUCUAUUACGAGCUGCAGUGAAUUGGGUCUCUCUUUCUGACUUUUAAACAAGGAGACAUCAGAUGUUUUUUAAAAAAAUAUAUAUAUAUAUGGAACUUUCUGUUUUGCUUUCCAUAUGUUUUCUAUUUCUCGCAAUGAAGAACUUGCUUGCAUAUUCUUGGCUAUAUUUUGAGUCCCCAUCAGAGCACAACAAUAUAAUGUUAAUGUUUAUACAGUUUAGAAAUAUCAAGCAUUGUUUGGCUGGAAAUAAUUUUUGUUUUAGUUAUUUCAUGAGGCUAAACAAUUUUUAACCAUGUUAGAAUUCCUUUCAGGAUUUCUUUUUUAUUAUUAUUUUUUUUCUUUUAAGGUUUUUUUUGGAGGGAUUUUUUUUCUUUUGACUGAUUGUUGCUCAGUGCUGUUUUCUGGGUGUUUGAGAAGGCGGGGGUGGUGCUCAUCACAGGAGUUUUGACCCUCAGAGACAGGGUCCUCUGCAACAGUACUGUGAACAUCAUCUGAACCAGAGCACUUCAUGAGGAGAGUCUCAGAUGAGAGACUGUGUUUGGUCCAGCUGUCGGUCGAUGGCUGGACUGCGUCUUCACCGGACCUGCUGUGAUUGAAAUGUUACAGCACUGGUCCAGGAAACUGGUUUCAGAUCUGGAAGAACUGAGCGAUCAGAGACCGCUUCAGACAGCACCUGCUCAACCAUCAACACCACCCACCCCCAGCAGCCAAUCAGCCCAGUGGAUCCACCCCUCAGCCUGAGCCAGCAACAGAGACGAAUCAGGAAGGUCAGAGUGUUUUCAUCAACAGUGAGAGCUGUGAGGAGAAUGUGACCCUGAGUGGCAGAGAAGCUUCACUGCUGUUCUGCUGUUCUGGGACCAGUGCAUAUGAACUAGGAGACAACAAGUUAUCUGAGUGAAGUGCUGGAAACCUCUCCUCAGAUAGCCAGAAGAUCUUUACAUCCACUCUUUUCCUCUGUCUCAUCUUCUCACAGACUUUAGGACACUUAAGGACUGUCUGCUGUGUUCAUGAAGGACACAGAGCUGAACAACAUCAUGAUAAGAACCUGUUGCUCAGACAGGCUGGAGCUGAUCACGUCAUUAAAACUGGACAACAUGCUGUUAACUGGACUCUGCUGACGUAAUCAUAUUGAUAAGUUCUGUACAAUCACAUGUCAUUUGCAAAAUGUAUAACUGCUUGGAUGAAGUAUGAGGAAUUCUCUCUGGCCCUCGACUGGCUUUAUUUUCUUUCUUUCUCUCUCUCUCUCUCUCUCUCUCUCUCUCUCUCUCUCUCUUUCUUUCUUUCUUUCUUUCUUUCUUUCUUUCUCUCUCUCUCUCUGGGGCGCGAAUGUGUUGACCUAUCGAGAUUUUAUUUGUUGAUGUACUUUUACUCUUUUCUAAUAUAUAUAUCUAUUAAUUUUUGUUCCGCCAUAUGCAGAAGAAAGGCCAGUUUCCUGCAAGUUACAGUAGAUACAAUAGAGUUAGAUACUGCAUUUGGGCUA
Long non-coding RNA from Astyanax mexicanus (Mexican tetra), 3337 nucleotides. RefSeq lists it as uncharacterized. The record is from RefSeq and is a predicted model, not a curated record. The transcript is spliced from 2 exons. Lineage: Eukaryota; Metazoa; Chordata; Actinopteri; Characiformes; Acestrorhamphidae.